GCUGCAGGACGGUGUGCGCAGGGUCGGCCCCGGCCGCCGCCGCUCUAGGCCUCAGGCGUCCACCUCAGCUGCACUUCCGCCGGCGCUGCGUGUUUGGAGCAGUGUUCCGCUCUCGUGGCUGCACUUUCCGCGUGUCCUCCCAAUCUGCCGGCAUCCGCGCACCUCCGCGCCUUCCCACACUCUUGGCUGUAUCUCCGCCGUUGUCCCGUGCGGUCUGUUGCAGCCUCCUCGGCCCUGCGCAGAUGAAGACCCUCCCCCGGACGGCUUUGCGGGCCCUGCCUCAGCCGGCGCCCCCUUCUCUCCUGCAGGACCCGGACCCGCGCUGCAGGGGCUGAGUGCCCCCUGGGUAAGUGCUGCUGCUCCUGGGGGCUGUGGCCUUCCUGCCCCAGCGCAGCGGGGUGGUUCUGGGGCUCCGGGGGGCGGGGGGAAUGUGGGAGUUGUCUGCCAAGUCCUGGUGCAGGAGGAUGGGGCUGGGACUGGGGGCCAGAAGGGCCUGGGGUCAGAGCCUGACUCAGCUCGUCGUUAUCUGUGGGAUCUGGGGUGAGUUAUUUCUUUCUCCUGAGCUUUACUUUCUUUGGAGUGGGAGUUGGGGCGGGGGCGGGGGGGGGGCAGAGGCCUGGUCUGUGUUUUCCUUUUUGACCCCAUAAUGCCUGGUCCACAGUAGGUACUCAGCUGGUAUUUGUGGGGUGAGAAGCAAUUGAGGCAUUGUCAUCUGAAGUUGGUCUUCCCCAGCCCUGACUUGAUGAGGGGAGAUGGGCUGUGGCCAUGAAGUGAGGGUGGCCCUUGGGGUCCUGGGUCUGGCUGGGCCUGUUCCCCCAGGCUGGGUGGAGAGCCGGCUGCUGAUGUGGGCUCCUCUGCCUGGCUCUCCUCGUGCCCUUCUCUGCCCCAGCCUUUGAAAGUGGUCAUGGGCUGCCAGUGCCCCAGUCGUUGAUAGCACAGGGAGAGGACCACAGGGAGAGGACCGGCUGAAAGCACUUCCCCGUUUGGAGGUCCUGUUCCGUCCCUUAGAAACUCUGGAGCUUUCCCACACUUUCCCCCUCCCACCGCCUUUUAGAGGCCUCCUGGCACCUGGAGUCUAGUCUGUUGAAUGCCCUCUGCCUGGCUCAGUGCUGGUUUCUGUGAUGUGAGCCUUUAAGAAAGGAGAAUGGGGCAUUCCCAUCGUGACUAGGAUCCAUGAGGAUGCGGGUUCAAUCCCUGGCCUUGCUCAGUGGGUUGAGGAUCCGGUGUUUCUGUGAACUGCGGUGUAGUUUGCAGACACAGCUCGGAUUCUGCGUUGCUGUGGCUGUGGUGUAGGCCAGCAGCUAGAGCUCUGAUUCGACCCCUAGCCUGGGAACUUCCACAUGGUGCCAUUGCCGCCCUCCCUAAAAAGCAGGAAAAAAAAAAGAAAAAAGAAAAAAAAAAAAAAGAAAAGGGGGAAAAUCACAGCUGUGGUCUCCUGACUCUAGUCUCCAAUCUCUGCAGCUCCAUGGCCUUUCCUGCCUUUGGGUUUGAAGUGAUUACAGGCUGCCUGUGACCCGGUCAUUGGUCAUACAGGCAGAGGAAAG
Molecule: long non-coding RNA, 1544 nt
Filed under: Sus scrofa (pig)
Lineage: Eukaryota; Metazoa; Chordata; Mammalia; Artiodactyla; Suidae
Description: lncRNA (ENSSSCG00015046098.1)
Rfam family: Small nucleolar RNA SNORA71 (bases 885-1029)
Source: RNAcentral